GAUGAAGAACGUAGCGAAAUGCGAAAAGUAGUGUGAAUUGCAGAAUUCAGUGAAUCAUCGAAUCUUUGAACGCACAUUGCGCCCCUUGGUAUUCCAUGGGGCAUGCCUGUUCGAGCGUCAUUUGUACCCUCAAGCUCUGCUUGGUGUUGGGUGUUUGUCCCGUUUCACGCGUGGACUCGCCUUAAAGCAAUUGGCAGCCGGCAUACUGGCCUUGGAGCGCAGCACAAUUUGCGCUUCUUGCCCUGAAUGUCAGCGUCCAUCAAGUCUACAUUUUACUCUUGACCUCGGAUCAGGUAGGGAUACCCGCUGAACUUAAGCAUAUCAAUAAGCGGAGGA
RNAcentral lists this unclassified non-coding RNA (336 nucleotides) under soil metagenome. Its description in RNAcentral is "partial contains 5.8S ribosomal RNA, internal transcribed spacer 2, and large subunit ribosomal RNA". The stretch from base 1 to 120 matches the Rfam family "5.8S ribosomal RNA", at positions 35 to 154 of the family's 154-position model. The record is from RNAcentral.